GGGGGGGGGGGGUCUACACCUACCUUUCUAACCUGGUGGCACCAAAGACAGUCAUUUCCAAUGCUACAGACGCCCUAGGGCACCAACUCUUCUCUUUCCAGGUAGACCUUAGCUUCCAUGCAGAAGCUAUAACUCUAAACCCAAGCCAUACUCAGGAACAGCAGCAAGAGUGUUGGUAGGAGUUGGAGAGACGGGAUUCUGAAUUUACUUUCAUGGUUAACCUGUUCCAUCUGAUUUGGGUUUGACUUCAUCAUAUUGUUCUGCCCUGUCAGCUUCACUUCUGUAUCCCAGUGAUAUAAACUUUACUCCGAAACUGAUUUCUUAAAACUUAUUAAAUGCUUCUUGAAUGUGUAUGAAGUUUACUCACCCUUUUUCAACCCUGUCUUGAGAGAUUCUCCUAGUUCAGUCUCAUGAAAUCCUAUCCUGUAGGUCCCCAUUGCCAGGAAAGGCCUCAGCUAAUUGUCAUUGUUUACUGAUGUCAUUCUGGUCUACUGAGUUCCAGAACCAGGGGCCAAAACAGUUUUGGGCUUUUUCUUACAAGCACAUUAAAGUGACUUUGCAUAAAGUUAGGUUCCAAGAAAAACGUCAAGUAACUUACUAUCACAAGAGGAGAAGUUAUUGAGUAACUUCUGCUAUCGCAGAAAUAGCAAUGUCCUUUGGCCGUUCUUCCUCCUGCCCUUAAACUUUCUUGGUCUUUACAUCCCAGAUGCCAGAUGGAGUUCUGAGUCAAUCAGAACAUGGGCUCAGUGUUCUUAUGCCCAGUGUUUACAGUGAAGUUCCAGGACUCCUUGUCAUCCUCACUUCCAUUCCAGUUCAUUCCUCUUUGUUUCUUGGAUUAUCAGUCGUAUGUUUGGAGCAUUAGUUUGAAGGUUUAAGGAAGUACUGACAGUUUCCCACAGACCCUAAGAAGGUGUGGUUUGGGGAGGUUUCUGAUUUGCAAUGUUGCCAUGCUUUGUCACCACUAGUUUUAUGGGACACACAAGUGUUCAUCUCUGAAUUGUAAGCAUGCAAAGUCUGAAUGGAAUGAGGACAUCUUUUAUGGAAUCUUUUUUUUUUUAAUGUAGAACAAUAGGAUUUAGGUUUUAUGUGGUGACAUUAGAAAUAUAAAGUAAGUUUGCAGUUGCAUUAAAAUUGCUUCUCCCAAAGCUACACAUACUGACCUGAGUACACUGAUGGGUGGGACAUGGAAUCCUAAAUUCAGUUCAGGAGUAAUCACAUAAACAUCACACUUCACAAUCUAUGUGACCCUUUCACCUGCAUUAUCUCAUUGGAUCUU
This is a long non-coding RNA of Lutra lutra (Eurasian river otter), 1276 nucleotides long. RefSeq lists it as uncharacterized. Lineage: Eukaryota; Metazoa; Chordata; Mammalia; Carnivora; Mustelidae. The transcript is spliced from 2 exons. The record is from RefSeq and is a predicted model, not a curated record.